AACGAACGCUGGCGGCAGGCCUAACACAUGCAAGUCGAGCGCGCCUUCGGGUGAGCGGCGGCCGGGUGAGUAACGCGUGGGAAUAUGCCCUUCUCUACGGAAUAGUCCUGGGAAACUGGGGGUAAUACCGUAUACGCCCUUUGGGGGAAAGAUUUAUCGGGGAAGGAUUAGCCCGCGUUGGAUUAGGUAGUUGGUGGGGUAAUGGCCUACCAAGCCGACGAUCCAUAGCUGGUUUGAGAGGAUGAUCAGCCACACUGGGACUGAGACACGGCCCAGACUCCUACGGGAGGCAGCAGUGGGGAAUCUUAGACAAUGGGGGCAACCCUGAUCGAGCCAUGCCGCGUGAGUGAUGAAGGCCUUAGGGUUGUAAAGCUCUUUCAGCUGGGAAGAUAAUGACGGUACCAGCAGAAGAAGCCCCGGCUAACUCCGUG
RNAcentral lists this ribosomal RNA (431 nucleotides) under uncultured bacterium. Its description in RNAcentral is "partial 16S ribosomal RNA". It matches the Rfam family "Bacterial small subunit ribosomal RNA", at positions 29 to 507 of the family's 1533-position model. The record is from RNAcentral.